GUUGUACGUUUUGUCACAUGAUUUCAUCACGUAAUUUAUUCUUUAGGAUUUUAAUGUGCUUUAUUGGAGGAACUCACCAAACUUGAAAAUGGAAACACCAAAGUAUGCUGUGUUUAUUGGGACUUUUGUCUCAAGGAUUCAGAAACACUGUUCUUCCCACAAAUUGGAGUGACAUGUGAAUCAUGUGAUGGUGUGGCACAUGCAUCUGGAAUCACCAUGUAUAAUCAAGUUUACUUAUGAGUGGGGUGUUGCUUUUAUCUGGCAUCUUUCUCUCAACAUAUACUUAAUAAUUAAUGAAGUUAACAAAGUGAUAUUAUUCUUUGAACAACUUUGGUCUGAUGAAUGAGAAAUUAAAAUUCUUCUAGAGUACUUGCGUGUCACGCGGCUUUCCUGCUAUUCCACAGCCUAGAUGUGUCAUUAAUCAAGUUGUUUUGAAAACAACCCAAUAGAUGUUCUACUUCAGCUGUAGGCCUACCCCUUUUGGUUGUUACUACGAGAAAAUGAGAUGGCAUCUUGUAUCAGUCUCGCCAGUCUUUAAGUCAUCAUCGUGGUGCUGUACAAAUAUACAGCAAACAAGUAGAUGUCUUUGCACAUCCAUUAAUACUGCAAAAGAAUUCUUUGUUGAUUAAAGAAAAAGUUCAAUAUCGGCUGCAAUCUGCAGAAUAAUCCAACUCGUCGCAGACUCGCAAUAAGUGAUGAUUUUCCUUAUGGCGACGUUUGAAGUAAUAGGAUGAAGACGGUUAAUGUUUGUUCUACGUUUUAUCAAUUUGUUGGCCAUUUUUAUGAUUCUAAGCAUUAAGCAGUGGUUGAAGUUGUCAUGUUGUCAAUAGGUGGGGUUUGAAUUCGUCAACCAGAGGUGUCGCACUCUUUUCUCUUCCAUGUCCAGGGAAUUUACCUGUGCAGAGUCUCUCCCUGUCUUGAUUGGUUGGACUUUGCAGGAUUAAAGUAAAAACUGAAUUAUUUAAACCUUGUCCGAAACAAGAGCUUAAAUUGGUAACAUGAAAAUAAUUAUAAUAAAGAAUAAUUUAACAAGAAAAAUGAAAUUAACCUGAAAUAUAUAAUACGUUGUAGUAUAUACGGUUAUAGAAAAAUUUACAAGUACAACAUUGAGAAUCUUCGAUUUAUUUUCCAUGCUUACGUUUCGUCAUCCUUAUAUGUUGUAUGUAUGUGACGGGACAAACGAACACAUUGAAAUAUGCCAACAAGGUCAGUAGCAGCUUUAAGCACACUUAUCAGUUAUCACCAUCUCCUCAUUGGGCAGCUUAAACAUCAUACAAGAUACAACCA
This is a long non-coding RNA of Daphnia pulicaria, 1287 nucleotides long. RefSeq lists it as uncharacterized. NCBI's taxonomy places the organism in Eukaryota, Metazoa, Arthropoda, Branchiopoda, Diplostraca, Daphniidae. The record is from RefSeq and is a predicted model, not a curated record. The transcript has 3 exons.